GCACUGUUGGAGGCAAACCCAAGAGCAACAAUGUACCUGCAUCUGUGAUAACCUCAACAGUAGACAGUGUCUACUCUUGUUUGUAUGUGGACCCCUAACCUACAAACUUGCUUUCAAGUGAGCUCCUUGGAGUGAGCACUUUGUGCAACUGGUGUACUGUAUCUACUCUGUGAUUCCUCAGCUACUCCAAGUGGGUAACGUUUACAUUAAUACUGCUGAGCUGGUGUAAUGCAAGGAAGGACACAUCAUGAAAUGGAAACAUUAUCCUUUUUUUGGUCAUAGUAGCUGUAUGCAGCCUUUCCAGAUGCCAUCACUUACUGGGUCAGCUUAUUCCAGGUGUAGAACGUGCAACUAUUCUGCUUUGAUGAUGUGGCUUUUGUGUUGAACGUGGCUAGAAAAGCACGUGUGCUGCACCGUCUUCCUAAUUAAGUCAUCAAAAUGCACUGGAGCAAACUGAGUGACUUGCGUAGACCAAUAUAAGUAAUUUUAGUUCAUCUAUUGCUUGGUUAAUAGAAAGUGGCACUAUUCUAGA
This 532-nucleotide long non-coding RNA is filed under the name Anas platyrhynchos platyrhynchos (common mallard). RNAcentral's name for it is "lncRNA (ENSAPLG00000024779.1)". Lineage: Eukaryota; Metazoa; Chordata; Aves; Anseriformes; Anatidae. The record is from RNAcentral.